AAAGUACACAUUACACGACAACUGCGAAUACAAACGUAAAAGAGCUAGAGACUGACGAUGAGUCAAACAUUACCUUAUUGCUAGCAUGUAUCGGUCUUAUGGCUGCAGCAAUUGUAGUUUUGGUCACAGUUAUAAUUCGUCGCAAGCGACUGUCAAAGGUAACAGACAAAAUGACGAAGGAUAAAACGCUAGCUGACAAGGAUAAGCCAUAUGAAACACUGAGGAAGCCGGAGGUCAGUGUUAUUAAAGCAAACACUCCUGAGGGAUUCUAUCGAGUCAUUUCAUACGAACAAUGUGUAGAUGCUGUCAGAGGGGGUACAAACCCAGGCUAUGAUACCUUAAACAACAUCGACAACUACUAUACAAUUGCAGAACAUGACAAGGGGGCACUGAACAUAGAAAAAGAGUUGUAUGAAGAGGAAGACCACUAUGUUACGCUACCUUAAGAAAGAGAAAGUGUGGGAUAAUGAAAUAACUUAGUAUCAUUGUACUUUGAAAUGUUCGAAAAAGUCUUUUAAUGUAAUUACUACUACCAAAUUUAAACAAGUAUUGAAAAAUACUGAAAACUUUAAAUACUCGGUACAUGGGCAGAAACACAAUUAAAUCCUAUAUACAGUUUUACUUUUAUAUGAAUAAGGGCAAAUGAUAUGAACAGAUUGAGAACAUAGAGAAAGAGCUCGGAUAUACGUUCAUGAAAUAUAACAUUUAUUGUGAUACAUCAUGGUUUUUGAAUGAAUUUACAUUCAAAAUGAUUUCUUGAAUAUAGUUUAAUAUAUAGAAUGUAGUAUACAUAUUGCAAGUGAAAUAUUACAUUAUUCUUUUUUCAAUGGAUUAGGUAAGUUCUGCACGUUAGGAUCGGUUUUUCUACACUGUAAAAUUUGAUUAAAACACGAUUUUUCAAAACUUCAGAAUAUGCUAGGAAAGUUCAGCAAAUGAAAAAGAUGGGGUCUUGUGCUUGUUUAUUUGCUACACAGAGUUUUUCGAAACGGUAGUCUAUGGGAAAAUACAACUUUCAUAUCAUUUUCGCGGUGAGAAUGUUUUAUACAAUGUAGGUUUUAAUGAAACGUCUCACAGUCGAAACUAAACAUAUGUUUUUUAAAAUGGUAAAAUAUAAAAUGUCCGUGGGCUUAGUUUUUAGAUAUUUUACUAUGAUUUAAGUGAACCGUACAUUUCAAGCUAAUUUUAAGACAUUAUUUUGAAUUAUUUAACGUGUCAGAUGUUUUAAUAUCAUAUUUUAGCUUUAGAAAGAUAGUAAAAUUACCAUUGUAAUGAAUUUACCCGCGGAUUGCCAUUACUUCAUAAAAUGAUUUCAUUUCCGUAUGUCGAAUCCAGGCUUUAUUCUAAUUUUACGAAAAAAGAUGUUACGCUAUCACUUACGGUUUAUCGAAAUUGCAGAACUACCUUAAACCGUUUUGUGAAUAUUGGGAUUAUAUAUACGUAUUUAUACAAAACAGUCAUUUCACAUUUUCAUCAUCUUGGUUUCGUGUUUUCGUCAUCGUGGUUUAAACUAUCAUCUUCGUUCUUUCGUAUUUCGUCAUUGUACUUUCGACAUUCGAUGAAAUCAGAAAUAAUAAAGAUCUCAUUUUAUUGGUAGCAACAAUAAACAGGAUUAACACGACUAUGUGAUUUCUGCUUAAUUUAAGGGAAUUUUGAAUGAGAAUCUUGAACCUUUCAUAGGGAUCGAGGUGAUAUACAAAUUAACGUGCUCAGUCUAGAUGGUUCAAAUUAUUUACUAUGAUUUUCUGGUUUUCUUGAAAGAAACUACAUAGCAUUGUAGCAAGCUUCUGUAAAAAUCUUGUUACAACAUGUAUAUUGCAUGUUAUUUAUCAUGCGUAACAAAUCACACUCGAACCUGACGCAUUUUUAGAAUCCCUAAUGCUUCAUACAAGCUUGUUCAAACAAAUGUACUUUUAUUGAGUCAAAAAGUUUACCUGUAAUCAAUGCCAUUUUAUGAUUUACAGCUGCUUUUGUUUGAAUUUUUUAUUCUUAUAAUAGGGAAUCCUCUCUUUCAUAUAUCUCUUCUUUUGAAAAAAUGUAGAUAUUUACUAUUAAACGGGCAGAGUGAUUUAAUCAUAUUUUAUUACGUGAAAUUGGUUUUAACAUUGGAUGCAUUUGUGUAGCUUAUAUAAAAAUAUCUGUCUGUUAACGCUUUAAACAUUUUCAUGUACAUAUAUACUUAUAUAUCAAUGUGUAAUUUUUGAUUUGGUAUCUGAGUCCAGAAAUGUUGGCAAUAAUUCGGAGUAACACAGUGAUAAACGUAUACAGUAUCUCGAAAGCUGGGGGUUCUCCUUGGCCGGGUUGUUACAUUCGAUGACUUCAAAUCACUCACACCUCACCGAUGUCAGUUCGAGCCUCAUUUGGGGCGUAGAGUUCUCUAGGCAAGAAAGUAAUCCAACUGGCUAACAGAAAGACCAUGGUUCGACCUAGGUGCCCACUGGGAUAUUCAGCAAUGCCCAGAUGACAUUUUCUCAACCAUCAAAAGCUUGAAAGUCACCAUAUUACCUAAAAUUGUAUCGGCGUAACGCUAAUAUACCAAUAAAAGCACGAGCCGGGAGAUCACAAAAAAACAUUCACAUUUCUCAUUUUUCCUGCUUUUGAAGAGUCACACCGAAAAACUGUAAGUCAUUUUGGCAACUUUUGAAGCUUUUGAUUUUGGAGAAUGACCUUUGGCGUCCUUUCGAGUUUCGUUCUUUUUAGCACGGGUAAAUGUCUGGGGAAAUAAUGCAUUUACAUACCUUUUCACCGUAAAGUAAUAUGAAACUCAUUGUUUUGUUGCAUGUGACAAUAAGUUGAUACUUAUGGAACAUAAGAUAUUUAGGAAUCAUUUAGUAGCUUGAAUAUAACUUACAGCGCAUGUUCUCCUCCUUUAAUAUUUCAUUGUAUGAUAAAGUGCUACAUUUUACAUACACUCUUAUACUUUGGUUUUAAAUUCAGCUUUUGGUCUAAUAACCAUACUCAAUUUUAAACCUUAAAUAUCGGAAUUACCUAAGACGUUUUUAUUUUAUAUAUUGCAAAAACAUUUAGUCUGUAGUAUGUGGAUAUCGAAUAGCAUACUAUCAUAUCACCCCCUUUACAAAUACGCCUGAAGAGGACAAUCGAACUUCAUGAGUAAAACCAAAUUGUUUUUUUAUGCCCCCGAAGGGAGGCAUAUUAGUUUUCAACUGUCCGUCCGUUCGUUCGUUCGUUAGUUAGUUAAUUAGUUCGUUCGUUCGUUAGUCACAACGUUAACUUUUUGCAUGAAGGCACUUUACUCGCAAACCACUGCACCCAGGACCUUCAAACUUCACAUGCUGAUAGUACUUAUUGAGUAUACCACCCCUACUGACUUUAGCGUCACCAGGUCAAAGGUCAAGGUCACAGGGGCCAACGUUAACUUUUUGCAUUAAGGCACUUUACUCGCGAACGAUUGCACUCAGGACCUUCAAGCUUCACAUGCUGAUAGUACUUACUGAGUACACCAUCUCUAAUGACUUUGAGGUCACCAGAUCAAAGUUCAAGGUCACAGGGGCCAACGUUAACUUUUUGCAUGAAGGCACUUUACUCGCGAACCACUGCACCCAGGACCUUCAAACUUCACAGGCUGAUAGUACUUAUUGAGUACACUACCUCUACUGACUUUGAGAUCACCAGAUCAAAGUUCAAGGUCACACGAGCCAACGUUAACUUUUUGCAUGAAGGCACUUUACUCGCGAACCACUGCACCCAGAACCUUCAAACUUCACGUGGUGAUAGUACUAUUUAAGUACACUACCCUUACUGACUUUGGAGUCACCAGGUCAAAGGUCAAGGUCACAGGGUCCAACGUUAACCUUUUGCAUGAAGGCACUUUACUCGCGAACCACUGCACUCAGGACCUUCAAGCUUCACAUACUGAUAGUACUUAUUGAGUACACUACUCCUACUGACUUUGAAGUCACCAGGUCAAAGGUCAAGGUCACAGGGGCCAACAUUAACUUUUUGCAUGAAGGCACUUUACUCGCGAUCCACUUCACCCAGGACCUUCAAACUUUACAUGCUGAUAGUACUUUACGAGUACACCAACCCUACUGACCUUGGGGUCACCAGGUCAAAGGUCAAGGUCACAGGGGCCAACGUUAACUUUUUGCAUGAAGGCACUUUACAUGCAAACCACUGCACCCAGGACCUUCAAACUUCACAUGCUGAUAGUACUUAUUGAGUACACCACUCCUACUGACUUUGGGGUCACCAGAUCAAAGGUCAAGGUCACAGGAGCCAACAUUAACCUUUUGCAUGAAGGCACUUUACUCGCGAACCACUUCACCCAGGACCUUCAAACUUUACAUGCUGGUAGUACUUUAUGAGUACACCAUCCCUACUGACUUUUGGGUCACCAGGUCAAAGGUCAAGUUGCUGCGGGGGCAUUUGUCACCAUUAGUGACAGCUCUUGUUCUUUCUACAUGACACAAGUUUUAUACGGAAUUAUUAUUUAACCUCCACUUAUUGUAACUGUAAGGUUAUAUGUUAUUUGUUGAUAUUGCAAUAAAAACCUCUAAAAUAAAA
This is a long non-coding RNA of Mercenaria mercenaria, 4521 nucleotides long. RefSeq lists it as uncharacterized. The transcript is spliced from 3 exons. NCBI's taxonomy places the organism in Eukaryota, Metazoa, Mollusca, Bivalvia, Venerida, Veneridae. The record is from RefSeq and is a predicted model, not a curated record.